CCUGCCUUUAGAAGCAUUACAGGUGUGGCUGCCUUGAUUUAUGUGUGUCAAUAGGUUACAAGAGGAAAGAGGCUAUGUCUAUACUCAGUGUUUUGACCUGUGAACAUCUGAAUGAUUAGGAACCUAACAUU
Small nucleolar RNA from Rattus rattus (black rat), 131 nucleotides. RefSeq annotates it as small nucleolar RNA SNORA17. The record is from RefSeq and is a predicted model, not a curated record. NCBI's taxonomy places the organism in Eukaryota, Metazoa, Chordata, Mammalia, Rodentia, Muridae. The transcript has a single exon.